This is a long non-coding RNA of Macaca mulatta (Rhesus monkey), 732 nucleotides long. RefSeq lists it as uncharacterized. Lineage: Eukaryota; Metazoa; Chordata; Mammalia; Primates; Cercopithecidae. The record is from RefSeq and is a predicted model, not a curated record.
AACCCUGGCCCCUGCCACGGGUGGGGCAUGGGCGGGACGGGAGCCUGCUCAGGGUGCUACCUUGGAGCAUUAAGAUGGAUUUGACUGGAAAAGAUGAGAAGGGCCUACAAACACACUGUCUCUGCAUGAUCUUGAAGCCUUCACUCUAUACCUCCAUCACUCUUUAGUAAAAGUACCAAGUGCAUACGAAUCAGGUAGGUCCUGGAGUCAAAAUGAGACAAACCGCCCCAGUGGCAAAGCCUGGAAAAUCUUCUCUGGGUAAGCGUUGGGAGGCCUAUGGGAAAAUUAUUCCUUCUCAGAAUGGUAAGAUCAUAGACUCACACUAUGUAAGGAUAUUUACAUAUUAUACUUUAAUCCCUUCAUUUUACAAAUGAAGAGAAUGCAUUGCCUAUGGUCUCAUAGCAAAGUGAGGACUAGGUUGGGACUAAAACCAGUCAAGGUUGAAAGUAGAACCAGGUGUUUCAGCUAGUCUUGUAUGCGUCCAAGUGCAUCAUACUUCGUGGUUUUGAAUUGUUAGAGCUGAGUCUUGUGUGGUUAGCGGAUCAUGUGCAACUUUGCUAGUAGGGAGUUCGCCUCUUAAAUUUUUUCCUUCAGCUCCCCACGCAUCUAAAUCUUUUGUGAGGAGAUACAUUGAAAGGGUAAGUCUGGCUCCAUGAAUGUCCCAUCUGUAUAGCUGCAAAGUAUCCUGAUUUAGAAGGGUCCUGGGCUCUGGCUCUGUUUACUUUUUUUUUU